ACGUAGGGGGCAAGCGUUGAUCGGAAUCACUGGGCUUACAGCGCGUGUAGGCGGGGCAGCAGGUCUUCUGUGAAAGCCCCCGGCUCAACCGGGGAAUUGCAGGGUAAACCGCCGCUCUUGAGGCAGGUAGAGGUGACCGGAACGUGUGGUGGAGCGGUGAAAUGCGUAGAUAUCACACGGAACGCCGGUGGUGAAAACGGGUCACUGGGCCUGAACUGACGCUCAGACGCGAAAGCAUGGGGAGCGAACGG
This 251-nucleotide ribosomal RNA is filed under the name uncultured prokaryote. RNAcentral's name for it is "partial 16S ribosomal RNA". It matches the Rfam family "Bacterial small subunit ribosomal RNA", at positions 525 to 775 of the family's 1533-position model. The record is from RNAcentral.